RNAcentral lists this ribosomal RNA (429 nucleotides) under Bacteroidota bacterium. RNAcentral describes it as "Bacteroidetes bacterium partial 16S ribosomal RNA". It matches the Rfam family "Bacterial small subunit ribosomal RNA", at positions 355 to 776 of the family's 1533-position model. The record is from RNAcentral. Lineage: Bacteria; Pseudomonadati; Bacteroidota.
UAGGGAAUCUUCCGCAAUGGACGCAAGUCUGACGGAGCAACGCCGCGUGCGUGAAGAAGGAUCUCGGUUCGUAAAACUCUGUUGUUAGAGAAGAACAGCGCAUAGAGUAACUGUUAUGCGUGUGACGGUAUCUAACCAGAAAGCCACGGCUAACUACGUGCCAGCAGCCGCGGUAAUACGUAGUUGGCAAGCGUUGUCCGGAUUUAUUGGGCGUAAAGCGAGCGCAGGCGGUCAAUUAAGUCUGAUGUGAAAGCCCCCGGCUCAACCGGGGAGGGUCAUUGGAAACUGGUUGACUUGAGUGCAGAAGAGGAGAGUGGAAUUCCAUGUGUAGCGGUGAAAUGCGUAGAUAUAUGUAGGAACACCAGUUGCGAAGGCGACUCUCUGGUCUGUAACUGACGCGGAGGUUCGAAAGCGUGGGUAGCAAACAGG